Hemicordylus capensis (graceful crag lizard) is the source of this 1572-nucleotide long non-coding RNA. RefSeq lists it as uncharacterized. NCBI's taxonomy places the organism in Eukaryota, Metazoa, Chordata, Lepidosauria, Squamata, Cordylidae. The record is from RefSeq and is a predicted model, not a curated record. The transcript has 4 exons.
UUUAGCCACUCUGCGCAUGGCGGGGCUUGAAGUUACAGCGUCUCCUACCGGGCGUCUGCUCAGUCGCAUCUGGCACUGGCUCGGACCGCUGCGGAUCAACUCAGCUGGACCAAUACAGAGAGAGGAAGCAUUUAAAGACUGAUAGUACGGAUGUCUCUGGGGCCAUAGCUCAGUUAUGGAGCAUGUUAUUGGAGCAUAAGGGAGCGCAUUCCAGAGUCCAGGAGCAGCUACAGAGAAGGCCCAAUCCUGAGUCACUGCCAGUAUCUCUCCUAUAGGAUCUUCUUAACCACAGACAGUUGUCCUAGAGAGUGAAAAGGCUGUGCUGGUGUUCAGUUGCUGUUCUGCAUCUCUCCCCCAAGACCCCAUUGCCAUCUGGAAGUGCCCCUUGCCAUCCCGGGGUAACAGUAAUUUUGCUUGUGCAGGACAGUGUAGCUUGGGAGUUCUUGCAACGGCAGUGGUGCAAGUAGUGUGAGCGAAGUGUUAACAUGUAUUUGCCUUGCUGAAGGUGGACAAUCAAAAGGCACAGUCCCAUUGAGCAUGCCCCCUUCUAACAUCGUAGCCAAUAGUUGCUGUUUUACUGAUGUGCUGCUGCCCACAGUCUGGUGACGCGAGUGGAAUUGAGCUUGCUGAGAUGCAGCAUGGGUGAACUAGGAAGAGGGAGGGGUUUCUCUGUCCAGGAGCCAGAGGCUGCCAAACUGCAGUUGAUCAAUAGUCUGCAGCAUGAUGCCCAGCUUCACAGAUUAACCACAGCUUCGUUCACCCGUGGUUUCACAUUACAUCUGAAUGCGGCCUGUGAAUGCUUCAGUGUACCUCAGGUUUCCUUAUGCCACAGCUCUUGUGUGAUUUUUCAUCAGUAAAAUGAACCACCUCAUUUCAUUCUGCUUGAAAAUAGAUAUCAUAACCUAAUGCCUAUGGCUUCAAAAAUGAACUUGAGGUGGUUUCGUAACCAAUGGCAGAAUUUACUGGUUCAGGAAUAAAUCAUUCUCCAAGAACAAGUCUGAAAUUUGUUUGUAGAAAGCAUACUGCACAGUCACAUGUUGAGGUUUAUGGUAUUAUACCAACUUUCCAUUUCAAAUGACGUUAUGGUCAAGCCUGCACAACUUGUGAACCACUAAAUCAAAGGCAGCCCAUUUGCCACGUAUGACACCUUGCCCAGUGCUUGAUAAACUCCCUAAUUUCUGCAGCCUGCCUAGGAUUGUGAAAACAGGGACACUGUUAGGCACCUGGCAGGCCACAAUAUAAGGCUGCAUUCAACUUUGUGGGUCACAAGUUGUGCAGGCUUGCUAAAGCUGAACACUCUUAAACAGUGGAAAGAUAACAGUUACUUACUGGCUAAUUGGCAUUUCUUAGUGUUUGGCUCCACUCACACAGGGAAGCAAAGCCACUGACAACUGCAUUGCAAAAGGAUGCUUCUUCCUCUCCCAUCUCUUAGCAAUUUCGAGUGGAGACAGAGAAAAGGAUGGGGCAACCACACUCUCUGCUCUUUCCAACCAUUGGAUAGCAGCAGUAGGACCUUCUGACUUAAGAGUGUUAACUCUGAUUACUUUUCAGUGCCCAGUUAGUAUAAGUUAG